Pygocentrus nattereri (red-bellied piranha) is the source of this 1279-nucleotide long non-coding RNA. RefSeq lists it as uncharacterized. The transcript has 4 exons. The record is from RefSeq and is a predicted model, not a curated record. Lineage: Eukaryota; Metazoa; Chordata; Actinopteri; Characiformes; Serrasalmidae.
AACAUCGUCCGUAUUGAAUGAACACAUCAGGCUGCAGGACAGAAGGACUUUUGAGGACCACUUCACUUUGGGAAUACAACUAUAACCUGAACACAGUGGAAUUAUUCUCAGUCAGAACACGGUACAUCAUGAUGAAGCUAUUGUUUUGAUUUCCAGUGCAACACUGCGUGACUUAAGAUGGGAAACGGAAGCUGGAGGUGAUUCCCUCAUUUCAGUGGGAGUUGCUUGGCGCAGUAUUAAAAUGUCGAAGUGAAAGUACCAGGCUGAAGAACUUCUAAACCACCACUGUUGACAUCCUGUUUAUUCCUCACUAGCAAAAGAGGCCAUGGACAGAUGGUGUCUCCUUCAGUUGAUUCAAGUACUUCUCAUCACACCCUGUUUCUGUAAAGAUGCUGAACUUGACUGUCCUGACAUAAAAAUGACUGUUGGGCAGCCAUUAAAUUUAACCUGCACAGUUACGUGUGAAGACUGCAAAGCAAUCCUAUAUAAAUGGAAGAAGGACAACAAAACACUGAAACAUGAGAAUAGUACUGGUCAGCUUCAGUUUUAUUACCCAAUUCAGAAUCUGUCCAUGGAACAUAAUGGAACAUAUACAUUUUGGGUGCAGCUGAAUACUAGCUCUCUUACAAAGAACUUCAGUGUGAUCUUAUCAGAAAAAGAAUAUUUUGGCAGCAGCGGUCUUCAUAAUCAUCAUAUAAGUGUAACUUUUGUGGCCCUCCUGUCUGUCUUAGCCCUCAUUGGUUUGGCAGUUUUCUUCAGAAAGUAUAUAACAGUGGUUUUUCAGAGACUCCAAGAGAGCCUGAACAUGAACAUCUGCAAGAAACAAAACAUAUCGCAGGGAGUAGUGUGACAAGUUGAGCACUAGUGCUAAUCAGUCAAUCAUAACGAAAAAGUUUAUGCAAUCAUCGACCAUCUCUUCUCCAUGUCUCCUUUCUAGUGUUCUAUACAUUUACAAUUUUUAUACAUUUUAAAACAUUUUUAGAGGUCUGCAGGGUGACCUGAACCUGAAGCGGUCAUCAAAAGAUUUUUAUGUACAGCAUCUGGCCUGGUUUGGGCUGGUUGUCAAAGUGAGUGAUUUUUUUCGUACACUAGAAAAAACAGAUUUGGAGUUUCAACUAAAAAACAAGGCUACCUUAAAUUUUAUUUUUAUUACAGAUAGUAAGAGGAAAGUGGGCUGCUAUUACAGUCAGCAGGGUGCCGAUCAAGCUUAAGAGACCCUUAUUAGUCCCACAAUGGGGAAACUUCACCUCCACAUUUGACCCAUCCAUGCUGUGAAACA